ACUAGAGUUUUCCUACUUGGUAGAUGGAAUGAAUACAUUAGACACUUCAACAUAACUAUGUUCUUUUUCAUCAGUUUUGCCAAUUUCUGUUAAGUCAGAUAUUGUAUCCUUACUAACAAAUUCACUAUCUUCAGUUCCAACAACUACUUCAUAAGUGUUUGAUACUUCAGAUGAUACUUGGUAAAGAGUCCCAGAUUUAGGGUCAAGGUACUGAAAAGGAGU
This 222-nucleotide long non-coding RNA is filed under the name Mytilus galloprovincialis (Mediterranean mussel). The record is from RNAcentral. Lineage: Eukaryota; Metazoa; Mollusca; Bivalvia; Mytilida; Mytilidae.